This 492-nucleotide ribosomal RNA is filed under the name uncultured bacterium. Its description in RNAcentral is "partial 16S ribosomal RNA". It matches the Rfam family "Bacterial small subunit ribosomal RNA", at positions 29 to 507 of the family's 1533-position model. The record is from RNAcentral.
AGUGAACGCUGGCGGUAGGCCUAACACAUGCAAGUCGAACGGCAGCACAGUAAGAGCUUGCUCUUACGGGUGGCGAGUGGCGGACGGGUGAGGAAUACAUCGGAAUCUACUUUUUCGUGGGGGAUAACGUAGGGAAACUUACUCUAAUACCGCAUACGACCUACGGGUGAAAGCAGGGGAUCUUCGGACCUUGCGCGAUUGAAUGAGCCGAUGUCGGAUUAGCUAGUUGGCGGGGUAAAGGCCCACCAAGGCGACGAUCCGUAGCUGGUCUGAGAGGAUGAUCAGCCACACUGGAACUGAGACACGGUCCAGACGCCUACGGGAGGCAGCAGUGGGGAAUAUUGGACAAUGGGCGCAAGCCUGAUCCAGCCAUACCGCGUGGGUGAAGAAGGCCUUCGGGUUGUAAAGCCCUUUUGUUGGGAAAGAAAAGCAGCAGGUUAAUACCCCGCUGUUCUGACGGUACCCAAAGAAUAAGCACCGGCUAACUUCGUG